Small nuclear RNA from Coffea eugenioides, 103 nucleotides. NCBI's taxonomy places the organism in Eukaryota, Viridiplantae, Streptophyta, Magnoliopsida, Gentianales, Rubiaceae. The record is from RefSeq and is a predicted model, not a curated record.
GUGUCCUCCGGCGACACCCAAUGAAAUUGGUAUCAUAUAGAGAAGAUUAGGAAUGCCCAGUGCAAGAAUGGCGCGCACAAAUCGAGAAAUGGUUCAAAUAUUU